GAGACUACGCUGCACAAAGAACCCCAGCUCUGGAAGCGGAAGACUUCCUGAAGUCUUCACAAAGACAGCACUUCUCAAAGAAAGGAAUGGAACAGCUUUGCUCCCUGGCUUCCUGGCUGGGACCUGCAUCAGGACUGAUACCGGUUGAGGAUAGUGGUUACCAGUCAUCGGUGUUGCCUUACAAGUCCUACGGCAACUGUUACUGUCUUUGUGUUUCUGUCACCCCAGGUUUGCUGGUAUACUGCACACAGAAGCUCCAUCAAACCCUGAAAACCUGACUGACUGACUCCAGGCUGACUUUACAAGGGUGAGCAGCUGUAUAAGGUGAUGCUGGCCGCCUUGUCAGCUCCUGGAGUUACAGUAGACUUUUUUCUUUCAGGCCAGGCUGAUCUUGACCUACAAGGCCUUCUGCUUCAACCUCUGAAGUGCUGGAAUUAUAGCUCUAGGAGAAAAGUGGAUUAUGCAAACAGAUACUUCACCCAGAUUGGUGGCCCUCAGUGACUCCUUGUGCUGAUGCCCUUGCUGGGAGAGGAAGCCAAGGCCCAGGAAAGAAGACGAGAAAAGAGGCAUUUUCUGACCAGAGCAGAUCACAUUCUGGGUCCUGCUUCAUGGUGAGCAGGAGUUUAAAGGAUUUCAGGUAUCAAAACAGCAGCAAAUUAAGAUGAACUAGCAACCUUGGCCUGCUGCCUUGUUAGGCCUAAGGCAGGGAAACUGGGCUGAUGUGCUCUACGGCUUGUGUUUUCUUUGGAAGUUGGGCUAUUGCUUAGAGACAGAUGUCUACUACCAUUCCUGAAGAGCGUGCUCUGGGUUCCUGGGAUCCAUAGGCUGAGCUCUUGUAUGUAGAGGCACCCCUUUUCCUAGCAUUCUAUGUCAUCUCAGGUCACCUCCAGCCUUUUGUUUACAUCCCAGCUGACAGAUGCAAGAGAUUAUUGAGUUGUGGUCUAAACACUCGGGAGGCCAGAUACCUGUAAGUGCUAUGGAACAUACAGUUUAGUUUAGGGAAGAUAUCUGUCCUGGAAACUCAGAAGGCAGGAUCUGACCAAUGGGAGUUGGGGCUUGUCUCCUUUGCCUCUCCUCCCUAGGCCUGGAAAGGGAACCUACAGAGCUGUGAUGUUGGAAGCAGCUGCAGGAGUCCCUAUCCCCACCCAUCAGCCGUUGCUGCUCAUUGGCCUGUGCUUGGACACUCUACUGCACAAAGAGAGGGCCCAGAACUCCCAUCGGGAACUGAUGUGUGCCAGCCAUGAGCAGUGAGGGAAAGGUAAAUUGCCCAUCAGCCACCAUAUACCCAUAUUUUUCCCAUAAAAAACGUUUGCUGGAAAGGAUAUAUAUCAAGUCAAUAGAGACAGGAAAUCACUCCAGCCAUAAACUCUAAUCCUAGUGAGGUAGAUCAGAGGAGGCUGACAUUAUGUUUGACUUUCAGAUAAGGAAUGUCUAGCCCAGUGGGCCCUAAGGACCUCUUCUGGAGGAGGCAAACAGAACUGUCGUCUCCUCCUCCUCUUCCUCCUCCUCCCUUUGCCCCCCUCCACCUCUUCUCCCUCCCCCUCCUUGUUUUCCUUUUUUUUUUUUUUUUUUUUUUUUUUUGAGUCAAGGUAUUGCUCUGUAGCCUAGGUUGGCCUCAAACUCAAGAUGCUCCUGCCUCAGCCUCCUGCAUGCUGGGAUUACAGGUGUGUGAUACCUACUCCUGCCAAAAGGAAUUGUUUCUGAGACUUCCUGUUCUCAUAGAUAGCAAACUGGUUAUGCAGAUGCUUGAGUGUUGGAGGCAGGAAAUAGAGCGGUAGUGAAAUCCCACAAGCCAACUUAACACUUGAUGUCUAAUUCAGGAUAAAGACUGAUUGCCUGGGCUACCUGAGGGAAUCCCCCGAGGUCUCUUAUUAGGUGUACACCACGUUGAAAACAUCAGCUGUUCUUGGUAACACUGCAGAUGGAUUUUAUUAUGAAGCACAAGUCCUGCAUGCUUAGUGUUACACACUCAAUAAAGAGGAGGCUAAUAUGAUUAAUGGCACAUAGAGCCUAUAAUGUGGUUGACGCGAGUGGGCUUUAAUAUAAACACCAUAGUUGCAUUUAUUGACAACCAGCUGAGGAUAGACUGCUCCAGGGAGAGGAGAAUGUGAUGUCACCUGAGCUCAGGAAUCAGUAUUAGAAAUAGCUCAGGGUAGGUCUCCGCGGAUGGGAGAGACAUGAGUGGGUUAAAAGAACGGGUGAGCUUUGGGUGGAGAGUAGGAGAGACAGGAGGGUCAGUGGGAGGGUUACAGAAGUCUAGAAGAGUAGGGCACACAUUUGCCCAUGUGUACUGUCAAGGCAGUGGCAGAGCUGGACUUUGGAAGAAGUCAAAGCUCAAGAAAAUUGGCCAUACUCACAUGGGUGUGUCAGCUUUCAAAACAGAUUAGCUCACUUGGUACAAGUAGAUUAUCCAUGUAACAUUCUGUACAACAGCCCCUGUUAAACUGGUGACUAAGGUAAUUACCCAUGAGUUCUCAGAAAUUCUCUUCCCAAAGAAGUCAGGGGAGAGGUUAGCCAUGAUUGUGGGUAUUGUGGGAUGGGCGGUGUGAGCCAUAGUCACCUGUGCCCAACUGGGAGGCCAAGUGGGAUCAUGUGCUCCUGUGCCUCACUCUCUUCCCUUCCCCCUCAGCCCCCAUCACACCAGCUAGCUCUCUCCUGUUCAUUCCUUCUUUUCCUGUUGCUAAGACAAAACACCUUACAAGAAGCAACUCAAGAAAGGAAGGGUUUGUUUGAGGUCAUAGUUUUGGGUAUAUCCUGUCUUUCCUGUCAAGGAAGGCUUGACAGCAGGAGAGCAAGGCUGUGGUCCUAGUCCAUCUGAGGUUAGGAAGCAGAGAAGGAGCAACAUUGUUGCUCUUUUGUUUUGUUUUGUUUUCAGUCCAGGAAACUUCCUCAAGACAUGCCUAAAGGUUUCAUCUCCUAGGAGCCUGUCAACUUGUCAAUAAGUAUUAUUGUCACAAGGCUCUAUGCUUGAAGUGACUUUAGUUUUACAUGAGGGAUCCUGAAACCCAGGAUCCCUCAGUGUGAGGAUUUCAGAGCUGUGGCCAGCAGAGAGGCCUCUUGACCACCAGCCCUCUGCAUCUGCCCUACAGAGGGAUUUGAUGAAGACAUUUCAUUCAGGGUUGAGGGUUCCAAGUUUCUCUUUCUCUCUCUCUCUCUCUCUCUCUCUCUCUCUCUCUCUCUCUCUCUCUCUCUCUCUCUCUCCCUCUCUCUCUCUCUCUCCCUCCCUCUCUCUCUCUCUCUCCCUCCCUCUCUCUCUCUCUCUCCUCUCUCUCUCCUCUCUCUCUCUCUCUCUCUUCUCUCCUCUCUCUCUCUCCCUCUCCCCCCCCCCCCACUGAUCUAUGAGUGUAGCAGUCAUUUUUUUGCUGUGUUUCUUCAGCAGAACAGUAGUGUUUGGUUUUCUGCAGACUCAGGUAUUUGGCCACCUGAGCAGUGUCAGGGAUGAGUUCUAUGGUGGUUUAAAUAUAGUUGCCCAGGGAUUAUUGGCACUAUUAGGAGGUGUGGCCUUGUUGCUGUAGGUGUGGCCUUGUUGGAGGAAGUGUGUCACUCUGCAGGGGUAGUGGGACUUUGAGACCCUCCCCCAAGCUACCUGGAAGCCAGUCUACCCCUGACUGCCUUCUGAUCAAGAUGUAGAACUCUUGUCUCCUUCUCCAGUACUGGGUCUGCCUGGAUGCUGCCACACAUCCUGCCAUGUUGAUAAUGGACUGAACCUCUGAACCUGUAAGAUAACCCCAAUUUUAUGUUGUCCUUUAUGAGAGAUGCCUUGGUCAUAGUGUCUCUUCUUAGCAGUGAAACCCUAAGACAGGUUUCAUCCCAUGAGUGGGCCUGGCAUCCAAUCAGAUAGUGGCUGGCUACUCUGUAAUGAGCAUGGCAUCCAAUCAGACACUGGCUGUUUACUCUGGAGUGGGCCUGGCAUCCAAUCAGAUAGUGGCUGGCUACUCCCACAAGCUCUGGGCCACUCUUGCUCCAGUGCAGCUUGCAGACAGGCCACUGUUGUAGAUCACAGGGUUGUUGUUGGCUUGGGAUUUACUGUUCUCCUCUGGUAGGUUACAUGGUACACUCCAGUAUCAUGAACAGCAGGGGUGAAGGCUCUAAGCUACCAGCUUGAUUUCUCUAUGCUCAGUGCGAUGGUAGGUCCUGACUUCAGCAACAGGGCCCUGCCAUUAGCUUGUGGAGAGCUAUGAGCAUCCUUGGCAGUGACCUGGGUUGUUCCUGGCUUCUCAUAGGGCCGGCUCCUUUGGCCAACCACUCAAUUAGACAUAACCCAUUCUCAGAACUGGAAGCUCCAUUUGGUGAGGAGAGAUGUCCAGCUGGGGCUUUGUAUCCCCUGUUUACAUCACCUUCAUAUAUGUUUAUGUUUUAGGAAGCUGGAACUGUAUUUAGGUUUCCCUAAGUCCCUCAAACGGCCGUUAGUUAGCUGUUCUUCCACGUGCUCUCGGCCACCCCUAAUUUGAGCCUCCAUUCCAACCUGCCACCCCCUGUUCAUCCAUAACGAUUCUAUUUCCCCUUCCUAGGGUGAUCCAACCCUCCUGCCAGCUCCUUACUCUAUACCUAACCUCUGGUUAUAUGGACUGCAGCUUGCUUAUCAAAUGCUUUGCACUGACAUCCACAUAAAAGCGAGUACAUUCCAUAUUUGUCCUUUUGAGUCUGUAUUACCUCACACAGGAUGCCUUUGCUGUGUUUUUCUCCCCCAGCUCCAUCCAUUGACCUGCUAACUUUACGAUGUCAUUUUUUAAACAGCUGAGUAAUAUUCCAUUGAAUAACUGUACCUCAUUUUCUUUAUCCACUCGCCCACUGACAGAUAUCUAGUCUGUUUCCAAUUUCUGGCCAUUAUGAAUAGAACAGCAGUGAGCAUGCUUGAGGAGGAAGUGCCUGCUGUGUGACUUAGCAUCCAUUGGGUAGAUGGCCUAGAGUGGUAGAGCUGGAUCUGAGGUGGGCUUAUUCCCAGCUUUCCGAGGAACUGCCGUACUUGUUCCCUAGUGGCUGUACAAGUUUGUACCAGGAACAGAUGACCUGCCCUGACCUCGCCUCCUCGCCAGAAUGAGCUGCCAUCUGAUUGACCUUGACAAUUCUGAGUGGUUUAAGAUGAAAUCUUAAAGUCGUUUGAUUUGCAUUUCCCUGAUGCCUGGGGAUGCUGAACAGUCCUUUAAGUGCUUCUCAGCCACUUGUGUUUAUCCUUUUGAGACCUGUACCCGAUCUUUUAAUUGGCUCAUUUGUUUUCUUGAAGUCCGGCUUUUAAAGUUCUUUAUGUAUUUUAGAUUUUAGCUCUCUGGAUGAUGUGUAGUUGGUAAUUUAUUCCCCAUUUUGUUUCCUGAUUUUGUAUGAAUGAUGGUGUCCUUUGCCAUACAGAAGCUUUUCUGUUUGCUGUGGUCCCAUUUAUUAAUUAAUCCCAGGUCUUAGUGCCUGUGCUAUUGGUGCUCUGUUCAGAGAGUCUUCUCCUGUGCCAAUGAGCUUAAGCCUAUUCCACACCCACACGCUCUCUUUGAUCAGGUUCAGGGUAUCUGGCAUUAUGUUGAGAUCUUUGAUCCAUUUGAAGUUGAGUUUUGUGCAGAGUGAUAAGUAUGGAUCUGUUUGCAUUUAAUUAAACCAGCCCCUUUUGUUGAAGAUGCUAUCUUUUUUUCCAGUGUGUAUUUCUGGCUUCUUUAUGAAAAAUCAGAUGUCCAUAGGUGUGUGGACAUAGGUCUGGGUCUUUGAUUCGGUUCCAUUGAUCAAUGUGCUUGUUUUUAUGCCAGUGCCAUGCUGUCUUUAUUACUGUAGCUCUGUAGUGCAGUUUGAGAUUUGUAGCACAGCGAUGCCUCCAGUGGUUCUUUUAUUAUUCAGGAUUGUUUUGGCUAUCAUGGUUUGUGUGUGUGCAUGUGUAUUUUCAUACAAGGUUGAGAAUUGCCAUUUCAAGUUAUGUGAAGAAUUGUGUUGGAUUUUGAUGGAAAUUAUAUUGAACAGAUAUGUUGGUUUUGGUAGGAUGGGUGUUUUUACUUUAUUAAUCCUAUUGAUGCAUGAGCAUGGGAGAUCUUUCCAUCCUCCGAUAGCUUCUUCAAUUUCUUUCAUCAAUGUCUUAAGGUUUUUUUUUUUAAUCAUACAAGUCUUUCACUUGCUUGAUUAGAGUUAAUCCAAGGUAUUUUCUUUUAUUUCUUGUGGCUGUUGUGGAAGAUAUUAUUUUCUUGAUUUUUUUUCUCAACUCAUUUGCCAUUUGUAUAUAGGAAAUUUACUUAUUCACCACCAUCACCCCCCCCACCCCCCACUUUGGUUUUUGAGACAGGGUUUCUCUGGGUAGCCCUCACUGUCUUAGAAUUGCUCUGUAGACCAGGCCUCAGCUUCACAGAGAUAGCCUGCUUCUGCCUCCCAGGUGCUGGGAUUAAAGGUGCGCACCACCACCUUCCAGCAAAGUCUACCGAUUUCUGUGUAUUAAUUUUGUGUCUUGUUACUUUGCAGAAAGAGUUCAUUAGGAAUUUCCUGAUGAGAUUUUUAGGGUCACUUAUGUAUACAAUCAUCUUCACAUAAAGAUAAUUUAACUUCUUCCCUUCUUGUUUGUAUCCCCUUGAUCUCCUUCAGUUGUCUUACUGCUCUAGCAAAGACUUCAAGUACUGCACUGAAUAGGUAUGGAGAGAGGGGACAACCUUGCCUUGUUCCUGAUUUUAGUGGGCAUGCUUUGAGUUUAUCUCCAUUUAGGUGGAUGUUGGCUGUGCGCUUGCUACAGACCACCUCAGUUUGUCGAGGUAUGUCCCUUAUAUCCCAAUGUCUCCAGGACUUGAAAGGACGUUGGAGAGUGAAGACUGCCCAAACCUGAUCCCCUGGCCAGCACAGUCAGCAGGUUUUGCAGGGAGAGAGCAGAGAGCCUCCAGCAUUGGUGUUCAGACCGAGAUCAUUACUCUCAGCACAAAAGCUCCUGGAGACUUUUGUUAUGGGCUCAGCCUAUUGGGUUUGUGAAAGAAGCUUGAUUUUUGGUUAAAGUGUUAAAGAAAGCAAUCUGCUUCCCGGGAGCAACUGUCCUAUAACACAGCAGCACAGUGAACAUCCCUGCCACUUGCUGUAUCCUUAGCUGAGUACAACCAACCAGACCUUGGUGUGGGAGGCUGCCUGGACACCCACACCUUCCUUCUCUGCACUCACAGCCUCUAUGAAAGGGCACUGGUCCACCAGGUCCUCUCAUCCUCUCCCUGCUCAUCCAAGCCCAGUGCUCUCUCAAGGAGAAGGUCUGGGUGAGGUGGUGUGAAAAAAAGAAUUCUUGUUGUGCACAUGGCUUUGUAUUUAACCAGUUCCUCAGUGCUGAAAAAGCAGGGGCCGAUCCUGCAAGAGACGAUAGGCAUUUUAUUAGGUAGGAAUCCUCAGCAGGACUGGCCUGCUUACCUUCUGGGGACCCAAGGGCAACCUCUACUGGCAGAAACAUGCUACUACAUCAGGAAUAUCCCAGGAAUGCUUUCUCUCUGAAAAAGACUGUUUCCCAACAUGUAUAUAAAUCACACACCACUUACAAGCGUUAAAGUUUCUGUGAGAUACAUCUAAAUGACAGUGCUCUGCAAAUCUAAAAAAGUGUUGCAUCAGCAGACCUUAAGUGGCUUGAAGCCCUUCCAAGACUUGAGAUGGACACUAGACCUAUGGAAGCAGUCACCAGCCCUGGGACUCAAGCCACAUCAGCCUGGCUACCAGCCCUCAUUUCAGCAGUUUCUUUCCACCAGGACAGUUAUCUGUGUGUUCUCUGUGUGUGCACAUGCCUGACUCUCUGUUUUUUAUACUACAUGCAUAUAAGGUGCCCAAAGGAAACCAGAAGAGUGCAUCAGAACCCACAUGGCUGGAAUUACAGGGGUUGUGAGUUGCUGGGAAUUAGACCCAUGCCCUCUGCAAGAGCAGUGAGCUCUCAAAGUGAGCUCUCUACUGCUGAGCUCGCCCCGAGAUGUUCCUUAUUGGUCUGCUUUCAUUUGUUUUCCUUUCCUUUCCUUUCCCUUUCCCUUUCCCUUUCCCUUUCCCUUUCCCUUUCCCUUUCCCUUUCCCUUUCCCUUUCCCUUUCUUUCUCUUUCUUUCUUUCUUUCUUUCUUUCUUUUCUUUUCUUUUCUUUCUUUCUUUCUUUCUUUCUUUCUUUCUUUCUUUCUUUCUUUCUAAGAUUUAUUUAUUUAUUUAUUUUAUGUGAGUACACUGUAGCUAUCUUCAGUAAUACCAGAAGAGGGCAUCGGAUCAGAUCCCAUUACAGAUGGUUGUGAGCCACCAUGUGGCUGCUGGGAAUUGAACUCAGGACCUCUGGAAGAGCAGUCAGUGCUCUUAACCACUCUCUAGCCCCUUUGAUCUGCUUUCGUAUUAAUAAUUAGUCAUUUUAGUUUAGGGUUCCUUUGGGCACCUAAAUCCUUACAAAUGCUGUAGCAAAUCCGGGCUCUGUGAAGAUGAAGUUCAAGAAAGAACCCAAAUGGAAGUGUCUUUGGCUUUCUUUGACCAUGAACCUCCCUGGAACUACCCUGGCAGGAGCAGAGGUACAACUGUGUCCCUCCCUCUGGCUGUUAGACUACUGAACAAUGGCCCAAAGGAUAAAAAUUUCCUGGAAAUCCUAUGCAGGGGGCAGGGAAUACUUGACAUGCUGGUGCUAGCUCAAGGAGGAGCCUGUCUCCAGAGAGAUUAUUUCACACGGUCUGACAACUAGUCAGAUCACCUUACAGAAGAGACUCGUGUAGACGUGCUGGGCAGGGGCAUACCUUUACCAGGACUGCAGAGUUAGGAUUAUCUCUUGCCCAAGCCUCUGGUUGAGGAACUACCUCAGUCAGUAAGGAGCCCGAGUUUGGAUCUCCAGCACCCAUGCUCAAAGCUGGACCUGGCUGUAACCAUCCACAAUCACUGUCUUAGAGAUGUCUCAGGGUAUUCUGCAGCCAGGAUAGGACACAAGAGGUCAAGACGACAGCUUCUGUGUUAUUUGCCUGUAGCCACUCCCCCAAGUCCUCUGGGAGCUCCUUAGGUCUGCUAGACUCAAGUAUGGUCCUGAGGUCACAAGGACCACUCAGUGAUCAAGACAGAGGCUUUGUGGUUGGCAUAAUCCCGGAGCAGGGAAGUGGAGGCAGGAGGAUCUUGCGCGCCCGACUCGCCAGCAAGAACGACGCCACAAUAGGAUCCUUCUGCACACGUUUAUUGGGAGAGCAUUGAUUGCAGAGGCGAAAGACCCUGAGCCCAGAAAUGGUGCUGCUUAUAUAGGCCUAGGAGUGACGUGUCCAUACCUGAUUGGUUAUGCUACCAGUACCUGAUUAAUAUGCGUCGGGCCAGGCAGUGACUGGACAAAAAAACUUUACUGCAUAUGUACACAUUGGUUAUUUGUCCAAACUUAUGCGUGGUGGCCAGCAGUAGCCAGCGCUACUCUGCAACGGCACAUGUGGCUUCCCACAGGAGGAUCCUGGGCUUGCUGGCCAGCUAGUCUAGCAGAAUCAGUGAGAGAACCAGAGAGUAAGGUAGAGAGCAACUGAGAAAGAUAACUGAUAUCUAACUCUGGCUUCCACAUAUACACACAAACAUACACAGAGAGAAACACCUACAGACACAGACACACACAAAGACACACAGACACAACACAGACCCAGACAUAUGCACACACACAAACACAGAAACACACACAUCCACAGAUACAACACAGAGAUACAUAUUCACACAGACACACACAAAAACACAGAGAAACACAUACAGACACAACACACACAGACACACAGGAACACAUACAGACACAACACAGACACAGACAUACAGACACAUACAUAGACAUACAGACACACACAGAGACAUACACAACACAGACACACAGAGACACACAAACACACAGCCACACAGAGAGACACAGACACAGGACAGACACAGACAGACACACACAGAUACACAGACACAUACACAGACACACACACACAGAAACACACACACGCAUUCUAAACCUCAUGUCAUGACCCUGAAUACAGACAUGGGUGUCCUGCACCUCACUGUUCCUCAUCUCAGUGUAGCCACAGACUGAAUAAACUUUUCUCUGCUUUUCACUA
Molecule: long non-coding RNA, 9986 nt
Organism: Mus musculus (house mouse)
Lineage: Eukaryota; Metazoa; Chordata; Mammalia; Rodentia; Muridae
Product: predicted gene, 47113
Exons: 2
Source: RefSeq, a predicted model, not a curated record